This 388-nucleotide ribosomal RNA is filed under the name uncultured bacterium. RNAcentral describes it as "partial 16S ribosomal RNA". It matches the Rfam family "Bacterial small subunit ribosomal RNA", at positions 523 to 918 of the family's 1533-position model. The record is from RNAcentral.
AUACAUAGGGGGCAAGCGUUAUCCGGAAUUAUUGGGCGUAAAGGGUGCGUAGGCGGCCAUUUAAGUUUGAGGUGUAAGUUCAAGGCUCAACCUUGUGAUGCUUCAAAAACUGGAUGGCUUGAGAGAGGUAGAGGCAAGUGGAAUUCCAUGUGUAGCGGUAAAAUGCGUAAAUAUAUGGAGGAACACCAGUGGCGAAGGCUGCUUGCUGGGCCUUAUCUGACGCUGAGGCACGAAAGCGUGGGGAGCAAACAGGAUUAGAUACCCUGGUAGUCCACGCCGUAAACGAUGAGUACUAAGUGUCGGGAGAACCCGGUGCUGCAGUUAACGCAUUAAGUACUCCGCCUGAGUAGUACGUGCGCAAGCAUAAAACUCAAAUGAAUUGGCGGGG